CCUACGGGGGGCAGCAGUAGGGAAUCUUCCACAAUGGGCGAAAGCCUGAUGGAGCAACGCCGCGUGGGUGAAGACGGUCUUCGGAUCGUAAAACCCUGUUGUUAGAGAAGCAAGUGCGUGAGCGUAACUGUUCACGUUUCUGCGGUAUCUAACCAGAACGCCACGGCUAACUACGUGCCAGCAGCCGCGGGAAUACGUAGGUGGCAAGCGUUCUCCGGAUUUAUUGGGCGUAAAGGGAACGCAGGCGGGCUUUUAAGUCUGAUGUGAAAGCCUUCGGCUUAACCGGAGUAGUGCAUUGGAAACUGGGAGACUUGAGUUCAGAAGAGGAGAGUGGAACACCAUGUGUAGCGGUGAAAUGCGUAGAUAUAUGGAAGAACACCAGAGGCGAAAGCGGCUCUCUGGUCUGUAACUGACGCUGAGGUGCGAAAGCGUGGGUAGCAAACAGGAUUAGAUACCCUUGUAGUC
Molecule: ribosomal RNA, 465 nt
Filed under: uncultured bacterium
Lineage: Bacteria
Description: partial 16S ribosomal RNA
Rfam family: Bacterial small subunit ribosomal RNA
Source: RNAcentral